AUGCUGGGAGUGAUGAAGAAGGAGACAAUCCUUUCUCUGCUAUCCAGCUGAGUGAAAGUGGAAGUGACUCUGAUGUGGGAUCUGGUGGAAUAAGACCCAAACAACCCCGCAUGCUUCAGGAGAACACAAGGAUGGACAUGGAAAAUGAAGAAAGCAUGAUGUCCUAUGAGGGAGACGGUGGGGAGGCUUCCCAUGGUUUGGAGGAUAGCAACAUCAGGUGAUGAACUUCAAUACCCUGAUGAAACCAGCUGCUGUGUUGUUGCGAGCUCCCCUGUGGAGAAGCCAACAUGUCAAGGAACUGAGACCCUCAGUCCAACAGUCCACAAGGUACCAAUGAACAAGCCAUUCAGAGAUGGAUCCACAAAGAUCUCUGGAGCAAUGACCAGGUCCUGCUCUACCCGAUUCUCAGCUUUGGGGAUAGAAUUCCCAGAAACAUCUGUGUCCGGAGUUGGUUCCUUCCAGUGGGUUCUUGGUCUUGCUGACUUCAAGAAUGAAGCCGUGGACCUUCGCGCUUCAGGCUGAAGAUAGUGAAAAUCCGUGCCAGACUUGGAUUGGAAGAAUGAACCAAGGCUUUGAGUCUCUUCGUCUCAUCUCCGUUUUGAUACGUGUCUCCUUAGUUUGUAAGCCAAGGAGAGGACUACAGUGAGGAUUGCGGAGGGAAGUGGACCUUAUUGGUCUUUGAGCUCUCACAUCUUUAAAGACUGUUGGUGCUGAGAGAAAAAGUAUCCUCAUCUGGCAGAACUCCCAUAGGGUGUGCUCCCCUUGCUGUUCUGCUUUUGUUUUGCAGAAAGCUGCCUUUUUCAAUGUACUCAUUAGGCUUUCAUUGUUUUUUCCUUUUUUACCUUUUUCAUCUUUCACUGUUGAUAUCACAGGUGGCCAUAUCUUUACCAGUGCAGCUACCAAAUAAGAAAUCAUCUUUUCCACAUUCACUAGUUAGUGAUGGUUGUUGUACUACCAUGAAAUCAGUUUCUUCUUUACUUUUAUUCAGGUUACAAGAUUUCUGGAAGGUUUUAAGAUCAAUUUUAAUUAGUCUUUGUGACUGGUUACUUCAUCCAGGGGACCAAUUUCUCUCUGGAAUAUUAGUCCCGCACCCCUGGAGAGCCUGUGCGGCUGCAUCUCCCUCCGGAGGUGGUUCUGGAGUUGGUUCCUUUUGGUGGGUUCCUGGUCUCGCUGACUUCAAGAAUGAAGCCACGGACCUUCACGUGGAAUCGCCGACUGUGACAAUGUGCAGAGCUAGCUGGUUGAAAUGAAGUCACAACUCGAGGAGAGUCAUGGAUUUUGACGAACGUGAAUCACCUUUAACAUUUUUAUGG
RNAcentral lists this small RNA (1313 nucleotides) under Pan troglodytes (chimpanzee). Its description in RNAcentral is "processed transcript". Lineage: Eukaryota; Metazoa; Chordata; Mammalia; Primates; Hominidae. The record is from RNAcentral.